GAACGCUGGCGGCGUAGCUUAACACAUGCAAGUCGAACGAAGCACUCAGAUCUCUUCGGAGUGAUGAGUGACUGAGUGGCGGACGGGUGAGUAACGCGUGGGUAACCUGCCUCGUACAGGGGGACAACAGUUGGAAACGACUGCUAAUACCGCAUGAGCGCACGGUAUCGCAUGAUACAGUGUGAAAAGCUGAGGCGGUACGAGAUGGACCCGCGUUGGAUUAGCUAGUUGGUGGGGUAACGGCCUACCAAGGCGACGAUCCAUAGCCGACCUGAGAGGGUGACCGGCCACAUUGGGACUGAGACACGGCCCAAACUCCUACGGGAGGCAGCAGUGGGGAAUAUUGCACAAUGGGCGAAAGCCUGAUGCAGCGACGCCGCGUGAGCGAUGAAGUAUUUCGGUAUGUAAAGCUCUAUCAGCAGGGAAGAAAAUGACGGUACCUGACUAAGAAGCUCCGGCUAAAUACGUG
Molecule: ribosomal RNA, 469 nt
Filed under: uncultured bacterium
Lineage: Bacteria
Description: bacterial SSU rRNA
Rfam family: Bacterial small subunit ribosomal RNA
Source: RNAcentral